AGCCAUCAGAGACAGAACCAGAGCCUCCCUUGACUGUAACCAUAACUAUCAUCCAAAAAGCCCUAGAAGACUUUGAUGGAUCACAAAGAAGUGCUGUGAUGAGUUACACUUCAAGUUACAAUCUGAAAGCAAAUAUGAACCCCCUGGGAAGUCUGGGAUGUCUAGUGUUACAUGAAGUGACAAGGACACUGGCAGCACAAAACUUAAGCAGCAAUUGAAAAGAAGCUACCGUUCAUUGAGCACCUUCUAG
Molecule: long non-coding RNA, 250 nt
Organism: Phyllostomus hastatus (greater spear-nosed bat)
Lineage: Eukaryota; Metazoa; Chordata; Mammalia; Chiroptera; Phyllostomidae
Exons: 3
Source: RefSeq, a predicted model, not a curated record